RNAcentral lists this long non-coding RNA (203 nucleotides) under Selaginella moellendorffii. RNAcentral's name for it is "long non-coding RNA (SMOE_LNC001887)". The record is from RNAcentral. Lineage: Eukaryota; Viridiplantae; Streptophyta; Lycopodiopsida; Selaginellales; Selaginellaceae.
CCACCCCGACUGGCAGCGCUGGGCAGCAGACUUUGCGAUUCCUCCCACGUCCACGCCCAUGGCCAGCACCAUCACAAACAUGGCAAGCGCCAAAAACAUCACCAAGAAAGCCUUGUUCUCCAUGAUUUGCUGCUCAGACUAAGAUCAAGUAGGCUUGUAUAUUAGAGAGAAAUGGUUUGAUCUGUGAGGCAGGAGGGGCUCGU